ACGCACGCUGGCGGCCUGCCUCACCAAUGCAAGUCGAACGAGACCUUCGGGUCUAGUGGCGCACGGGUGCGUAACGCGUGGGAACAUGCCUUUAGGUUCGGAAUAACUCAGAGAAAUUUGAGCUAAUACCGGAUGAUGUCUUCGGACCAAAGAUUGAUCGCCUUUAGAUGGGCCCGCGUUGGAUUAGCUAGUUGGUGGGGUAAAGGCCUACCAAGGCGACGAUCCAUAGCUGGUCUGAGAGGAUGAUCAGCCACACUGGGACUGAGACACGGCCCAGACUCCUACGGGAGGCAGCAGUGGGGAAUAUUGGACAAUGGACGAAAGCCUGAUCCAGCAAUGCCGCGUGAGUGAUGAAGGCCUUAGGGUUGUAAAGCUCUUUUACCCGAGAUGAUAAUGACAGUAUCGGGAGAAUAAGCUCCGGCUAACUCCGUG
RNAcentral lists this ribosomal RNA (432 nucleotides) under uncultured bacterium. RNAcentral's name for it is "partial 16S ribosomal RNA". It matches the Rfam family "Bacterial small subunit ribosomal RNA", at positions 29 to 507 of the family's 1533-position model. The record is from RNAcentral.